UUUAAUAAUUUAUAAUUCCUUAUCAUUUUGUGUCAUUUACGUUUUUAUCUCCAUUUGCGACGUCCUGCCAACAAAAACAUAAAACAACAACAACAACAACAACUAUCGCUAUAUACAGUUGACUGUAAGUUGGUGACACCCUGUCGCAACUCUUCGUACGCCAACUAUUCGCAAAUGCCCUGCCUCUGUUCAUUCUUGUACGUGCGUAUGCUCAUUCGCUGUGGUGACUUUUCCUGGCUGUGUGCCGCAUGGUGCUCGGUAACUUGCGGCCAAGGCUUGCAAAUGCGUGGCGUUGAAUGCAAAUCAUCCACCGGCAGUGCCGCCCACUUGGGAGACCCGCAUCCGUGCAGCCAUACGCGACGGGCAACUCUUAUGAUGGCGGUGGUACAGUUAUACUCGGCAGCAGCGGGCCACUCGCAGCGUCUGCGCCAUACCUUACCUUCCCUUCUCUAGCAGUUCGAUGAUGGUGAUCUCGACGUGGAGGAGGAUGAGGACAAUGAUGAUUCUGCGGAUGUUGACGAUGUCGACGACGAAGGCGUUGACGAAGCUGGCGAUGCCGGCAAUGAUAAUGCCGGUUUAGUGUUAUACAUACAACGAUGAUUCCGCACCGCAGUACGCACAUCGCUCGAUCAGUCAUUUGCAUCAUGAUGAGCUGCAACAGCCGCGUGCCGAACGCCUUACUAGCGGUGGUGUUGGAUAUGGUUAUCGCAGUAAAUCG
Molecule: RNA transcript, 718 nt
Organism: Rhagoletis zephyria (snowberry fruit fly)
Lineage: Eukaryota; Metazoa; Arthropoda; Insecta; Diptera; Tephritidae
Gene name: ciliogenesis-associated TTC17-interacting protein-like
Source: RefSeq, a predicted model, not a curated record